UACGAAGGGGGCUAGCGUUGUUCGGAUUUACUGGGCGUAAAGCGCACGUAGGCGGAUUGUUAAGUCGGGGGUGAAAUCCUGGAGCUCAACUUCAGAAUUGCCUUCGAUACUGGUUUUCUAGAGGCUGGAAGAGGUUAGUGGAAUUCCCAGUGUAGAGGUGAAAUUCGUAGAUAUUGGGAAGAACACCAGUGGCGAAGGCGGCUAACUGGUCCAGAUCUGACGCUGAGGUGCGAAAGCGUGGGGAGCAAACAGG
This 253-nucleotide ribosomal RNA is filed under the name uncultured bacterium. Its description in RNAcentral is "partial 16S ribosomal RNA". It matches the Rfam family "Bacterial small subunit ribosomal RNA", at positions 524 to 776 of the family's 1533-position model. The record is from RNAcentral.